AGUGAACGCUGGCGGUAGGCCUAACACAUGCAAGUCGAACGGCAGCACAGUAAGAGCUUGCUCUUACGGGUGGCGAGUGGCGGACGGGUGAGGAAUACAUCGGAAUCUACUUUUUCGUGGGGGAUAACGUAGGGAAACUUACGCUAAUACCGCAUACGACCUACGGGUGAAAGCAGGGGAUCUUCGGACCUUGCGCGAUUGAAUGAGCCGAUGUCGGAUUAGCUAGUUGGCGGGGUAAAGGCCCACCAAGGCGACGAUCCGUAGCUGGUCUGAGAGGAUGAUCAGCCACAGUGGAACUGAGACACGGUCCAGACUCCUACGGGAGGCAGCAGUGGGGAAUAUUGGACAAGGGGAGCAAGCCUGAUCCAGCCAUACCGCGUGGGUGAAGAAGGCCUGCGGGUUGUAAAGCCCUUUUGUUGGGAAAGAAAAGCAGCAGGUUAAUACCCCGCUGUUCGGACGGUACCCAAAGAAUAAGCACCGGCUAACUUCGG
RNAcentral lists this ribosomal RNA (491 nucleotides) under uncultured bacterium. RNAcentral's name for it is "partial 16S ribosomal RNA". It matches the Rfam family "Bacterial small subunit ribosomal RNA", at positions 29 to 506 of the family's 1533-position model. The record is from RNAcentral.